CGGACGAACGCUGGCGGCGUGCUUAACACAUGCAAGUCGAACGGUGACGAGGAGCUUGCUCCUCUGAUCAGUGGCGAACGGGUGAGUAACACGUGGGCAACCUGCCCCUGACUUCGGGAUAACGCUUCGAAAGAGGUGCUAAUACCGGAUAUGAGUCCCUCCGGCAUCUGAGGGACUGGAAAGUUUUUCGGUCAGGGAUGGGCCCGCGGCCUAUCAGCUUGUUGGUGAGGUAACGGCUCACCAAGGCGACGACGGGUAGCCGGCCUGAGAGGGUGAUCGGCCACAUUGGGACUGAGAUACGGCCCAGACUCCUACGGGAGGCAGCAGUAGGGAAUAUUGCGCAAUGGGGGGAACCCUGACGCAGCAACGCCACGUGUGGGAAGAAGCAUUUCGGUGUGUAAACCACUGUCGGAAAGGAAUAACGGAAGACUUCGGUCUUUAUGAAUGUACUUUUAGAGGAAGCACCGGCAAACUUCGUG
Molecule: ribosomal RNA, 479 nt
Filed under: uncultured bacterium
Lineage: Bacteria
Description: bacterial SSU rRNA
Rfam family: Bacterial small subunit ribosomal RNA
Source: RNAcentral